CCCUUCCCAGACCUCAUUUAAGGGUUGGCAGUGGAGGUAAAGGUGUCACUCUGAUGAUCCUUGUGUAUCUGAGGUCUUCUGAAGAUUCUCUUCUUUGGAAAGUCCCUGUGGAAGUGUCAGCCAAAAUGAAUAACAACCGGAAACAAUAAAAAGGAGAAAGAUAAAAUCAGGAAGAGUAAGCUCUGUUUAUAGAUGUGGACAGCUUUUCCAGUAAACCACCAAAUAAAGAAUUUCUUCGAAUUUGGAAAGUCUGAGAAUGGGACAGUAGGAAAAGCGAUUGGGCUCAGAAAAUCUUCAGAAUGGGAAAAAUGUAAAUAAAAAAUGGGGGAGAAAAAGAAAGGGUAUGAGGCUUUUUUUUUCUUUUUUCUCUUGAGUGCAUUUGCAGAAGAAGAGAGAGGGUUGAGUCAAGAUCUGCACACCGCAGACAUGGUGUCACCCACCCCCAGAGUCAAAGCAGGAGGGUGGUGCUCCUGGUGUGAGCUUCAGAGAGCUGCUGUUUGCCUCUUGUUGAAGUUUCAAAUGCAUUGAUAUUAAAAAAAAAA
Meleagris gallopavo (turkey) is the source of this 542-nucleotide non-coding RNA. The record is from RefSeq and is a predicted model, not a curated record. Lineage: Eukaryota; Metazoa; Chordata; Aves; Galliformes; Phasianidae.